This 253-nucleotide ribosomal RNA is filed under the name uncultured bacterium. RNAcentral's name for it is "partial 16S ribosomal RNA". It matches the Rfam family "Bacterial small subunit ribosomal RNA", at positions 524 to 776 of the family's 1533-position model. The record is from RNAcentral.
UACAGAGGGUGCUAGCGUUGUUCGGAAUCAUUGGGCGUAAAGGGCGUGUAGGCGGUUUGUUAAGUCAUGUGUGAAAUCCCUCGGCUCAACCGGGGAACGACGCAUGAAACUGGCAAGCUAGAGUACCAAAGAGGGGGGUGGAAUUCCCGGUGUAGCGGUGAAAUGCGUAGAUAUCGGGAGGAAUACCAGUGGCGAAGGCGGCUCACUGGACCGGGAACUGACGCUGAGGCGCGAAAGCGUGGGAGCAAACGGG